RNAcentral lists this long non-coding RNA (215 nucleotides) under Vigna radiata. Its description in RNAcentral is "long non-coding RNA (VRAD_LNC000803)". The record is from RNAcentral. Lineage: Eukaryota; Viridiplantae; Streptophyta; Magnoliopsida; Fabales; Fabaceae.
GAAAAGAAAAAAAGAACAUGAAAAGCGGAAAAAAAAAAGAAAAAAAGGAAGAAGAGGAAAAAAGAGAUAAAAAAAGAAAAAAAAUAGAAAAAGAAUAAAAAGAAAAAAAGAGAAAUAAAAAAAAGGAAGGAAGGAAAAAAGAAAAAAAGGGGGUGCACGUGAAUAAAAUGAAAAGAAAAGAAUGGUGAUUAACUGGGAGAGGUGCUCCACGUGAU